RNAcentral lists this ribosomal RNA (497 nucleotides) under uncultured bacterium. RNAcentral's name for it is "partial 16S ribosomal RNA". It matches the Rfam family "Bacterial small subunit ribosomal RNA", at positions 28 to 507 of the family's 1533-position model. The record is from RNAcentral.
GACGAACGCUGGCGGCGUGCCUAAUACAUGCAAGUUGAGCGAUGAAGAUUGGUGCUUGCACCAAUUUGCAGAGCAGCGAACGGGUGAGUAACGCGUGGGGAAUCUGCCUUUGAGCGGGGGACAACAUUUGGAAACGAAUGCUAAUACCGCAUAAUAACUUUAAACAUAAGUUUUAAGUUUGAAAGAUGCAAUUGCAUCACUCAAAGAUGAUCCCGCGUUGUAUUAGCUAGUUGGUGAGGUAAAGGCUCACCAAGGCGAUGAUACAUAGCCGACCUGAGAGGGUGAUCGGCCACAUUGGGACUGAGACACGGCCCAAACUCCUACGGGAGGCAGCAGUAGGGAAUCUUCGGCAAUGGACGAAAGUCUGACCGAGCAACGCCGCGUGAGUGAAGAAGGUUUUCGGAUCGGAAAACUCUGUUGGUAGAGAAGAACGUUGGUGAGAGUGGAAAGCUCAUCAAGUGACGGUAACUACCCAGAAAGGGACGGCUAACUACGUG